ACUCAAAUGAAUUGACGGGGGCCCGCACAAGCGGUGGUGCAUGUGGUUCAAUUCGACGCAACGCGAAGAACCUUACCCAGGCUUGACAUGCUAGUAGUAAGAACCGGAAACGGGGAUGAGCCCGCAAGGGCAGCUAGCACAGGUGCUGCAUGGCUGUCGUCAGCUCGUGCCGUGAGGUGUUGGGUUAAGUCCCGCAACGAGCGCAACCCUUGUCUCCAGUUGCCAACGGGUCAUGCCGGGAACUCUGGAGAGACUGCCCAGGAUAACGGGGAGGAAGGUGGGGAUGACGUCAAGUCAGCAUGGCCUUUAUGCCUGGGGCUACACACGUGCAACAAUGGCCGGUACAAAGGGCUGCAAACCCGUGAGGGGAAGCCAAUCCCAGAAAACCGGCCUCAGUUCAGAUUGAGGUCUGCAACUCGACCUCAUGAAGGCGGAAUCGCUAGUAAUCGCGGAUCAGCACGCCGCGGUGAAUACGUUCCCGGGCCUUGUACACACCGCCCGU
RNAcentral lists this ribosomal RNA (502 nucleotides) under uncultured bacterium. Its description in RNAcentral is "partial 16S ribosomal RNA". It matches the Rfam family "Bacterial small subunit ribosomal RNA", at positions 899 to 1397 of the family's 1533-position model. The record is from RNAcentral.